Scleropages formosus (Asian bonytongue) is the source of this 1461-nucleotide long non-coding RNA. RefSeq lists it as uncharacterized. NCBI's taxonomy places the organism in Eukaryota, Metazoa, Chordata, Actinopteri, Osteoglossiformes, Osteoglossidae. The transcript has 4 exons. The record is from RefSeq and is a predicted model, not a curated record.
AUGCUUUUGCCAUCAUGGCAAACACAAGGCCAGGGCGGUUCGGUUUUCACGUUAUUCUUGUCCCGCGGUAAAACACAUGACAUCACCAGCAGCUGAUGGGUAUCGCCUGCCAAGGCUGUGACACCCUAUCAUUGGGCAUCCGGUGUGCGGUGAGACAAACAAGCGUCAAGUCCUCGCCAAGCCAACACUGCGCUGCAGGUGGGCGGGCCCAAGUCAGCUCACACCCCGCUUGCUCGCUCUCUGCCACUGCGCCGCUCUCGACAACUUCUUGCAGAUGUCCUCGCCAGCCUUUUCGCAUGCGUGGGAGCCUGGGUGAGAACAACCGCAUGAGUUUGAGCCAGCGAGUAUCUCUGCAGAGAUCUCGGGUGUCAACCUGUUGGUCAACAUCUUGAGUGGACGCUGGACAUGGACAAAACUAUGGCAGCUAGCGUUCGUGGUUCCAGGGACCGGAACGGAGAGACUGCACCACUGUGGCUGGUGGCCGGUGGCCUUAUCACUCCCGCAGCAACAUCACCGACUCUCCUGCGCACCCCCAGGGGACUCGUCGACAAGAGCGCGAGGACCGCAAAGCUAUUGUAAAACCAUCUGCAAAUCCACUUGGUCACACUUAUGUUCCGAGGCUUGGUGGGGGAAGUCGGCAAUCCCGUUUCUCACUUCUCCUCAACCUGAUCACUGACGCAUCUUCAAACUCUACAGAUGGCCGUCUCAUCUACUUUCUGUUGCUCUUCGUCGAGCAGAUGACAAAGCACCGUCAGCCUCGGAUCACCCGGGAGGGUCGACGCCCAACUCAACACCCUGCCGGAGACCGGAGCUAAGCGAGCUGGGCCGAAACGCUUUCUGGAAGGGUCACCUGGCAGCAGCCCACUCUGCGGGGGGCAUCAGACAGCGAACCAUUGAAGUGCGAUCUGCCCUACCUGACCAGAUGUGUCUCAGCGGUCCAAUCAUAUAGGGAACCAACAGCUCCAAAACUGCACCUGCUCUCCAGAGCACCCACCGGUCAGGCAGGGAACUGGUGCAGCGACAGGGAGGGUCAGGGAUGCUGAGCCGGACCCUAGACGUCCGUCUGGAGGCUGCGGGGACCCUCACGCUCCACCAAUUAUUAAUUAACUAAAUUAAUAUUAAUUCAAUUCAUUCUUAAUAUUCAGUUUUAUUGGAAAUGUUUCCACUUCUUUCCAAACUGGUCAUCAGCAAAUCUGACAAUUUUUCGUAUUCAAUUAAGUAAAUGUUCAUUUUUAAUUGAAGCACUUGUUUCUGCAGGCAUUGGCUCCAAACGCCGUUGGUGGUUUCUCUUCCUCUAAACGAGGUCCAGCCUAGCUCAGAGACACUUCCCAUUCAUGGGUUCACCUAUUUUUUAUCUUUUACCAUGUGGUGGAAUUGCUGCUUUGGGUCAUUGGUUUGAGGGGGGUGCGUUGGCGCAGUGGGUUGGACUGGGUCCUGCUUUCCGGUGGGUCUGGGGUUCGA